This 421-nucleotide ribosomal RNA is filed under the name uncultured bacterium. RNAcentral's name for it is "bacterial SSU rRNA". It matches the Rfam family "Bacterial small subunit ribosomal RNA", at positions 357 to 770 of the family's 1533-position model. The record is from RNAcentral.
GGGAAUCUUCCACAAUGGGCGAAAGCCUGAUGGAGCAACGCCGCGUGGGUGAAGAAGGCCUUCGGGUUGUAAAAUUCUGUUAUAAGGGAAGAAAGGUGAUAGGAGGAAAUGACUAUCAAUUGACGUUACCUUAUGAGAAAGCCACGGCUAACUACGUGCCAGCAGCCGCGGUAAUACGUAGGUGGCAAGCGUUAUCCGGAAUUAUUGGGCGUAAAGAGCGCGCAGGUGGUUAAUUAAGUCUGAUGUGAAAGCCCACGGCUUAACCGUGGAGGGUCAUUGGAAACUGGUUGACUUGAGUGCAGAAGAGGGAAGUGGAAUUCCAUGUGUAGCGGUGAAAUGCGUAGAUAUAUGGAAGAACACCAGUGGCGAAAGCGGCUCUCUGGUCUGUAACUGACGCUGAGGUUCGAAAGCGUGGGUAGCA